AGGGUGCAGGGCGGAUGCCUUGGCACUAGGAGCCGAUGAAGGACGUGAUAAGCUGCGAUAAGCUUCGGGGAGUUGCACGUAAACUUUGAUCCGAAGAUUUCCGAAUGAGGAAACUCACUUAGAGUAAUGUCUAAGUAUCAUUAAGUGAAUACAUAGCUUAAUGAGGGGAACUCAGGGAACUGAAACAUCUAAGUACCUGAAGGAAGAGAAAGAAAUUCGAUUCCGUAAGUAGCGGCGAGCGAACGCGGAUUAGCCCAAACCAAUAAAGUUUUCUUUAUUGGGGUUGCGGACAUAUCAUAACGAAGAGGUAUCGUAAUUGAAGAGGUUUGGAAAGACCCACCACAGAAGGUAAUAGUCCUGUAUGUUAAACGAGAAGACUUCAGAUAUGAUCCAGAGUACCACGGGACACGUGAAACCCUGUGGGAAGCAGGAGGGACCACCCUCCAAGGCUAAAUACUACCUAGUGACCGAUAGCGUAUAGUACCGUGAGGGAAAGGUGAAAAGAACCCCGGGAGGGGAGUGAAAUAGAACCUGAAACCCUGCACUUACAAGCUGUGGAAGCACAUUUCUUGUGUGACCGCGUACUUUUUGUAGAACGGGCCAACGAGUUACGUUAAGUAGCAAGGUUAAGCACUUAAGGUGCGGAGCCGUAGCGAAAGCGAGUUUUAACUGAGCGUUCAGUUACUUGACGUAGACCCGAAACCGGGCGACCUACCCAUGAGCAGGAUGAAGCGAAAGUAAAAUUUCGUGGAGGUCCGAACCCACGAGCGUUGAAAAGCUCGGGGAUGACUUGUGGAUAGCGGUGAAAUUCCAAUCGAGCCCGGAGAUAGCUGGUUCUCCCCGAAAUAGCUUUAGGGCUAGCCUCAAGGUGAGAGAUACGGAGGUAGAGCACUGAAUGUCCUAGGGGGUAUUGCACCUACCGAAGACUAUCAAACUCCGAAUGCCGUCAUCUUAUACUUGGGAGUCAGACUGUGGGUGAUAAGAUUCAUAGUCGAAAGGGCAACAGCCCAGAUCGUCAGCUAAGGUCCCUAAAUGUAAGUUAAGUGGUAAAGGAUGUGGGAUUGCACAGACAACCAGGAUGUUGGCUUAGAAGCAGCCACUCAUUCAAAGAGUGCGUAAUAGCUCACUGGUCGAGUGAUCCUGCGCCGAAGAUUUCCGGGGCUAAAACUUACUACCGAAGCUACGGCAUCAGUAAUGAUGGGUAGGGGAGCUUCCCAUACGGGUUGAAGCGUGACCGUAAGGACAUGUGGACAGUAUGGGAGUGAGAAUGUUGGCAUGAGUAGCGAGAUGUGGGUGAGAAUCCCACAGGCCGUAAACCCAAGGUUUCCAGGGGAAGGUUCGUCCGCCCUGGGUUAGUCGGGACCUAAGCUGAGGCCGAAAGGCGUAGGUGAUGGACAACAGGUUGAUAUUCCUGUACUACCGAUAACCGUUUGAGAGAAGGGAUGACACAGUAGGAUAAGCUAAGCACACUGUUGGUUAUGUGUGCCCAAGCAUUGAGGCAGUCAAAGUAGGCAAAUCCGCUUUGAUAAUGCUGGGAUGUGAUGGGGAGCGAAAUUUAGUAGCGAAGUAGCUGAUUUCACACUGUCAAGAAAAGUCUCUAUCGAGGUUAAAGGUACCCGUACCGCAAACCGACACAGGUGGGUGAGGAGAGUAUCCUAAGGCCAGCGAGAGAACUGUUGUUAAGGAACUCGGCAAAAUGACCCCGUAACUUAGGGAUAAGGGGUGCCACCAUCAGGUGGCCGCAGAGAAUAGGCCCAAGCGACUGUUUACCAAAAACAUAGGUUUCUGCUAAGUCGCAAGACGAUGUAUAGGAGCUGACGCCUGCCCGGUGCUGGAAGGUUAAGGGGAUCUGUUAGAGCAAUCGAAGCAGUGAACUUAAGCCCCAGUAAACGGCGGCCGUAACUAUAACGGUCCUAAGGUAGCGAAAUUCCUUGUCGGGUAAGUUCCGACCCGCACGAAAGGCGUAACGAUUUGGGCACUGUCUCAACAACAGACUCGGUGAAAUUGUAAUUCCGGUGAAGAUGCCGGAUACCUGCGACAGGACGGAAAGACCCCAUGGAGCUUUACUGUAGCUUGACAUUGGGUCUUGGUACUACAUGUACAGGAUAGGUGGGAGGCUUUGAAACCAGGACGCCAGUUUUGGCGGAGCCAUCCUUGGGAUACCACCCUUGUAGUACUGGGACUCUAACCAUAGGCCAUGAAUCUGGUCUUGGGACACUGUCAGGUGGGCAGUUUGACUGGGGCGGUCGCCUCCCAAAAGGUAACGGAGGCGCUCAAAGGUUCUCUCAGUACGGUCGGAAAUCGUACGUAGAGUGUAAAGGCAAAAGAGAGCUUGAUUGCAAGACAUACAGGUCGAGCAAGGAUGAAAAUCGGACUUAGUGAUCCGGUGGUUCUGCGUGGAAGGGCCAUCGCUCAACGGAUAAAAGCUACCCUGGGGAUAACAGGCUUAUCUCCCCCAAGAGUCCACAUCGACGGGGAGGUUUGGCACCUCGAUGUCGGCUCAUCACAUCCUGGGGCUGUAGUAGGUCCCAAGGGUUGGGCUGUUCGCCCAUUAAAGUGGUACGCGAGCUGGGUUCAGAACGUCGUGAGACAGUUCGGUCCCUAUCCGUCGCAGGCGUAGGAAAUUUGAGAAGACCUGUCCUUAGUACGAGAGGACCGGGAUGGACGUACCUCUGGUGUACCAGUUGUUCUGCCAAGGGCAUGGCUGGGUAGCUAUGUACGGAAUGGAUAAGCGCUGAAAGCAUCUAAGCGCGAAGCCAACUUCAAGAUAAGAUUUCCCACCGCAAGGGUAAGACCCCAGAAAGACUAUCUGGUUGA
Molecule: ribosomal RNA, 2817 nt
Filed under: Clostridioides difficile
Lineage: Bacteria; Bacillati; Bacillota; Clostridia; Peptostreptococcales; Peptostreptococcaceae
Description: bacterial LSU rRNA
Rfam family: Bacterial large subunit ribosomal RNA
Source: RNAcentral